ACUUUGCUGACGAGCGGCGGACGGGUGAGUAAUGCUUGGGAAUAUGCCUUAUGGUGGGGGACAACAGUUGGAAACGACUGCUAAUACCGCAUAACGUCUACGGACCAAAGGGGGGGAUCUUCGGACCUCUCGCCAUUUGAUUAGCCCAAGUGAGAUUAGCUAGUUGGUAAGGUAAAGGCUUACCAAGGCGACGAUCUCUAGCUGGUUUGAGAGGAUGAUCAGCCACACUGGGACUGAGACACGGCCCAGACUCCUACGGGAGGCAGCAGUGGGGAAUAUUGCACAAUGGGCGAAAGCCUGAUGCAGCCAUGCCGCGUGUGUGAAGAAGGCCUUCGGGUUGUAAAGCACUUUCAGUUGUGAGGAAAGGGGUGUAGUUAAUAGCUGCAUCCUGUGACGUUAGCAACAGAAGAAGCACCGGC
Molecule: ribosomal RNA, 419 nt
Filed under: uncultured Gammaproteobacteria bacterium
Lineage: Bacteria; Pseudomonadati; Pseudomonadota; Gammaproteobacteria
Description: bacterial SSU rRNA
Rfam family: Bacterial small subunit ribosomal RNA
Source: RNAcentral